Molecule: long non-coding RNA, 939 nt
Filed under: Gallus gallus (chicken)
Lineage: Eukaryota; Metazoa; Chordata; Aves; Galliformes; Phasianidae
Source: RNAcentral
CCGAUAUAUAUUGUCACUAGGCAUUGUUAUUGUAGGUCCCUGUGCUGCCUCCUGCAGUUGCUUUAAUUGUCCUUCAUAGCCUUUUACUUUACCAUUCAGUUCCUCUAGCUUAUCAUUCCUGUUCUUCAAGGCCUCUUUGACCUCAGCUAGCUCAGACUUUAGAUCUUCCACUUCAAAAUCAAGAAAAGGGUCUUUCUGAUCUUUAUUGCUGAGGAGUCCAGGCAGAUGAAUACUGUCUGUUUCACCACUAACUGCGCUAUCAGGCUCCGGGCGAUCAUAAAGGUUGUUCAGCCAAGUGACCAACAUCUUACUGGCAUCUUCUUGAACAGUCAGCUUUAGGUUUUCGUUCACACGUGCCAGGGAGGACUGAAGAUCUAUCACCGAUCGUGUAAGUCUAAACAAUUCUUCCUCAAAAAACUGCAUUUUCUUCUCAUGUGGUGGAGGUUCUGGCACUUCUGUUGGUUCAGCAUCCAGGCCUUUCUUCACAAUAGCUUUUGCUGGUGUUGUGGGCCGACGAGCUGCCCUGGGCUGUUCUGAUGGCCCUUCUCUGCAGUCUUCACCUUUGUACCCGGGACAGCAUCUCCAUUCUAGCUCUGUCACGGUCUUAUAUGCAACCGUGUACCGAGGUCUGAAACUUGUUCGGUAUACCGGGGUCGGCCGGCAGGGAAACUCGUUCCAGGCGCACUUGUACUGGGCCUGGACGUAGCUCUCGGUCCCGUCCAGCACCGAGCAGCUGACGUUCUUGUUCACGAUGUACGCGCACCAGUUCUUGCUGCGGGAGCCCGGGCGGGAGUAGCGCAGGUGCGGGGUGGCGUGGCUGAGCCCGGCGCCCAAGGCGAGGAGCAGCGGCAGCGCCCAGCCCGAGGGCGCAGCGGGCCCGGGGCACAGCUCCAUGGGGCGAGUCCCUCUCCGCCGGCUCCCUCCGUCCGUCUGUCCGCC